Panicum virgatum (switchgrass) is the source of this 1298-nucleotide long non-coding RNA. RefSeq lists it as uncharacterized. The record is from RefSeq and is a predicted model, not a curated record. NCBI's taxonomy places the organism in Eukaryota, Viridiplantae, Streptophyta, Magnoliopsida, Poales, Poaceae. The transcript has 2 exons.
CUUGCGGCAUCGGAACAUUCUAACAGCAAAGGCGACGUGGGCCGCCACCGGCGAGCCGAGAGCAGCGGCGUCCAGCCGCACGGGAGCAGCAAUCGCGGUGUCAUCUGAACUUCUCACUCCGUAAUGGCGUAAUUAACUUCAUUGAUACGGCAGAUUGAACUUGUCACACAGAAAUUGAGGAGUUUAGGGGCUUUCUCCGUGGCAAGCAGAUUUGGGGAUCCAAAUUACUGAAAUCUUUCAAUGGAAUUUGGGAAGAAUUUGGAAAAAAAAAAUACUGAAGGACGCGACAUCUUCGGUCAGUAGUUCAGUAAUACUACUGUGCUUGAAAUACCAAAUUACUGAACUAAAAAAACCAACAGACGACUAGAUUAACUACUCGAUUUAGAUUAUCAAUCUCAGUAAUAGAAAAAAAUUGCACAAGCUCGGCAGUUUUAGUUUUAGUAAUUUUAGUUACCGAGCUCUAUUCAAUAGUAUAUAGUUCAGUAGUAGUCGAGUAUUUCGUUCUUUGAUCCAGUAGUUCAGUAGUGUACAGUAAUUAGCCUUUUCAAACUAUGCUUAGCUCAGCUUAGCUGGAUUACUGGAUUGCUAACUAUUUAUUACCGCAUCUCUUGAUUACUGAAUCCAAAGCAUACGGAUGCUUUAUGUUGUUUUUCGCUCCAUGUUUUUUUUUGCACCAAAAAUGUAUUACCGAUGCUCUCUUGUAAUAUUGGCACCACAAAUUGUCAGAAAAUGCAUUUGUUCCAUAGUUCAUGAGGCCAAAUUUGAUUUACUGGAUGCAAAUACAUUGAAGCAUGAUGGGUGCAAAAACCAAUGGUUUGUGCUAGAACAGCGAGGGAUGGACGGCGUAACUUUUUAUGUGGAUUGUGCUUCAGCAUAACCACAAGCUCGUCCCUGCAACGCGCAUGGCGAAAUGUAUACGGGCGCACAAGGCAAAAGACCCAGCAAAGUUAGAGCGGAGCUGUGAAGACGCGAAUGCUAGGGGAUUGCCACUGAUUUUGCUGUGAUUGGGCUCUCGUACCGAAAAAUUUCACAGCCCCCUUCAUUUUGAUAAGUAAUUUUGACCAAUCUCAAGGAGCUCAGAAGUUCAUGGCGCUGUUUUUUUAUUCGUGUGUGUUUCAAGUGAUCAAGUUCAGUAAUCUGCCCCGCUCUAAAAUCUCAGAUGCCUUGUGUUAUUCCAGUAAUACAUGGUUCUUUGGUAGUUGCAUUUCUGAAAAUAAAGAAUGCCGAUAAUUACUGAGCAUGUAUGAGUAGAUGUGUGCUUGAAAUGUGCGCAGUGUUGCUAUACAUCUGCUUUGGUA